AUCUUCAGGGCAGGGUGCGAUUCCCUACCGGUGGUACAGCCCACGAGCCGUAAGGCAUGAUUCGGUGAAACUCCGAAGCCGACAGUACAGUCUGGAUGAAAGAAGAU
Molecule: non-coding RNA, 107 nt
Filed under: Faecalibacterium prausnitzii
Lineage: Bacteria; Bacillati; Bacillota; Clostridia; Eubacteriales; Oscillospiraceae
Also listed under: 1 other name
Description: FMN riboswitch (RFN element)
Rfam family: FMN riboswitch aptamer (RFN element)
About the family: The RFN element is a highly conserved domain that is found frequently in the 5'-untranslated regions of prokaryotic mRNAs that encode for flavin mononucleotide (FMN) biosynthesis and transport proteins. This element is a metabolite-dependent riboswitch that directly binds FMN in the absence of proteins.
Source: RNAcentral